RNAcentral lists this ribosomal RNA (261 nucleotides) under uncultured bacterium. Its description in RNAcentral is "partial 16S ribosomal RNA". It matches the Rfam family "Bacterial small subunit ribosomal RNA", at positions 524 to 784 of the family's 1533-position model. The record is from RNAcentral.
UACAGAGGGUGCGAGCGUUAAUCGGAAUGACUGGGCGUAAAGGGCGCGUAGGUGGCUAAUUAAGUGAGAUGUGAAAGCCCUGGGCUUAACCUAGGAACUGCAUUUCAUACUGGUUAGCUGGAGUAAAGGAGAGGGUAGUGGAAUUUCAGGUGUAGCGGUGAAAUGCGUAGAUAUCUGAAGGAACACCAGUGGCGAAGGCGACUGCCUGGCCUUAUACUGACACUGAGGCGCGAAAGCGUGGGGAGCAAACAGGAUUAGAAA